Molecule: ribosomal RNA, 164 nt
Filed under: Ludwigia microcarpa
Lineage: Eukaryota; Viridiplantae; Streptophyta; Magnoliopsida; Myrtales; Onagraceae
Also listed under: 1 other name
Description: 5.8S ribosomal RNA
Rfam family: 5.8S ribosomal RNA
About the family: 5.8S ribosomal RNA (5.8S rRNA) is a component of the large subunit of the eukaryotic ribosome. It is transcribed by RNA polymerase I as part of the 45S precursor that also contains 18S and 28S rRNA.
Source: RNAcentral
AAAACGACUCUCGGCAACGGAUAUCUCGGCUCUCGCAUCGAUGAAGAACGUAGCGAAAUGCGAUACUUGGUGUGAAUUGCAGAAUCCCGUGAACCAUCGAGUCUUUGAACGCAAGUUGCGCCCAAAGCCAUCCGGCCGAGGGCACGUCUGCCUGGGCGUCAAUC